UCUUACGCGGGUUCGCGACCGGC
RNAcentral lists this unclassified non-coding RNA (23 nucleotides) under Mus musculus (house mouse). RNAcentral describes it as "oocyte_clustered_small_RNA3351". Lineage: Eukaryota; Metazoa; Chordata; Mammalia; Rodentia; Muridae. The record is from RNAcentral.